GUAGUCGUGGCCAAGUGGUUAAGGCGAUGGACUAGAUAUCCAUUGAGAUAAUCCCGCGUAGGUUCGAAGCCUACCGACUACG
Molecule: transfer RNA, 82 nt
Filed under: Caerostris darwini
Lineage: Eukaryota; Metazoa; Arthropoda; Arachnida; Araneae; Araneidae
Description: tRNA-Ser
Rfam family: tRNA
About the family: Transfer RNA (tRNA) molecules are approximately 80 nucleotides in length. Their secondary structure includes four short double-helical elements and three loops (D, anti-codon, and T loops). Further hydrogen bonds mediate the characteristic L-shaped molecular structure. tRNAs have two regions of fundamental functional importance: the anti-codon, which is responsible for specific mRNA codon recognition, and the 3' end, to which the tRNAs corresponding amino acid is attached (by aminoacyl-tRNA synthetases). tRNAs cope with the degeneracy of the genetic code in two manners: having more than one tRNA (with a specific anti-codon) for a particular amino acid; and 'wobble' base-pairing, i.e. permitting non-standard base-pairing at the 3rd anti-codon position.
Source: RNAcentral